Molecule: ribosomal RNA, 380 nt
Filed under: uncultured eukaryote
Lineage: Eukaryota
Description: partial 18S ribosomal RNA
Rfam family: Eukaryotic small subunit ribosomal RNA
Source: RNAcentral
CAAUAGCGUAUAUUAAAGUUGUUGCGGUUAAAAAGCUCGUAGUUGGAUUUCUGCCGAGGACGACCGGUCCGCCCUCUGGGUGAGUAUCUGGCUCGGCCUGGGCAUCUUCUUGGAGAACGUAGCUGCACUUGACUGUGUGGUGCGGUAUCCAGGACUUUUACUUUGAGGAAAUUAGAGUGUUUCAAGCAGGCUUACGCCUUGAAUACAUUAGCAUGGAAUAAUAAGAUAGGACCUCGGUUCUAUUUUGUUGGUUUCUAGAGCUGAGGUAAUGAUUAAUAGGGAUAGUUGGGGGUAUUCAUAUUUGGCAGUCAGAGGUGAAAUUCUUAGAUUUGCUGAAGAUGAACAACUGCGAAAGCAUUUACCAAGGAUGUUUUCAUUAA